This 468-nucleotide ribosomal RNA is filed under the name uncultured bacterium. Its description in RNAcentral is "partial 16S ribosomal RNA". It matches the Rfam family "Bacterial small subunit ribosomal RNA", at positions 28 to 507 of the family's 1533-position model. The record is from RNAcentral.
GACGAACGCUGGCGGCGUGCUUAACACAUGCAAGUCGAACGGAAAGGCCCUGCUUUUGUGGGGUGCUCGAGUGGCGAACGGGUGAGUAACACGUGAGUAACCUGCCCUUGACUUUGGGAUAACUUCAGGAAACUGGGGCUAAUACCGGAUAGGAGCUCCUGCUGCAUGGUGGUGGUUGGAAAGUUUCGGCGGUUGGGGAUGGACUCGCGGCUUAUCAGCUUGUUGGUGGGGUAGUGGCUUACCAAGGCUUUGACGGGUAGCCGGCCUGAGAGGGUGACCGGCCACAUUGGGACUGAGAUACGGCCCAGACUCCUACGGGAGGCAGCAGUGGGGAAUAUUGCACAAUGGGCGGGAGCCUGAUGCAGCAACGCCGCGUGCGGGAUGACGGCCUUCGGGUUGUAAACCGCUUUCGCCUGUGACGAAGCGUGAGUGACGGUAAUGGGUAAAGAAGCACCGGCUAACUACGUG